Molecule: ribosomal RNA, 429 nt
Filed under: uncultured Alphaproteobacteria bacterium
Lineage: Bacteria; Pseudomonadati; Pseudomonadota; Alphaproteobacteria
Description: bacterial SSU rRNA
Rfam family: Bacterial small subunit ribosomal RNA
Source: RNAcentral
AACGAACGCUGGCGGCAGGCCUAAUACAUGCAAGUCGAACGAACCUUCGGGUGAGUGGCGCACGGGUGCGUAACACGUGGGAAUUUACAUUUAGGUAAGGAAUAACGCAUGGAAACGUGUGCUAAUACCUUAUAAUGACUUCGGUCCAAAGAUUUAUCGCCUAGAGAUAAGCCCGCGCUAGAUUAGGUAGUUGGUAGGGUAAGAGCCUACCAAGCCUACGAUCUAUAGCUGGUCUGAGAGGAUGAUCAGCCACACUGGAACUGAGACACGGUCCAGACUCCUACGGGAGGCAGCAGUAAGGAAUAUUGCGCAAUGGGGGAAACCCUGACGCAGCCAUGCCGCGUGAGUGAAGAAGGCCUUAGGGUUGUAAAGCUCUUUCAGAUGCGAAGAUAAUGACGGUAACAUCAGAAGAAGCCCCGGCUAAAUUCG